CAGGAAAUAAUUUAAAAAAAAUAUUAAUUUUGGAGAUUAAAAUUGGGGUAUACCUUUUCUGA
This 62-nucleotide transfer RNA is filed under the name Megalurothrips usitatus (bean blossom thrips). RNAcentral describes it as "tRNA-Pro". The record is from RNAcentral. Lineage: Eukaryota; Metazoa; Arthropoda; Insecta; Thysanoptera; Thripidae.